AGUGAACGCUGGCGGUAGGCCUAACACAUGCAAGUCGAACGGCAGCACAGUAAGAGCUUGCUCUUACGGGUGGCGAGUGGCGGACGGGUGAGGAAUACAUCGGAAUCUACUUUUUCGUGGGGGAUAACGUAGGGAAACUUACGCUAAUACCGCAUACGACCUACGGGUGAAAGCAGGGGAUCUUCGGACCUUGCGCGAUUGAAUGAGCCGAUGUCGGAUUAGCUAGUUGGCGGGGUAAAGGCCCACCAAGGCGACGAUCCGUAGCUGGUCUGAGAGGAUGAUCAGCCACACUGGAACUGAGACACGGUCCAGACUCCUACGGGAGGCAGCAGUGGGGAAUAUUGGACAAUGGGCGCAAGCCUGAUCCAGCCAUACCGCGUGGGCGAAGAAGGCCUUCGGGUUGUAAAGCCCUUUUGUUGGGAAAGAAAAGCAGCAGGUUAAUACCCCGCUGUUCUGACGGUGCCCAAAGAAUAAGCACCGGCUAACUUCGUG
Molecule: ribosomal RNA, 492 nt
Filed under: uncultured bacterium
Lineage: Bacteria
Description: partial 16S ribosomal RNA
Rfam family: Bacterial small subunit ribosomal RNA
Source: RNAcentral